This 922-nucleotide ribosomal RNA is filed under the name uncultured archaeon. RNAcentral's name for it is "bacterial SSU rRNA". It matches the Rfam family "Archaeal small subunit ribosomal RNA", at positions 1 to 923 of the family's 1478-position model. The record is from RNAcentral.
UUUCCGGUUGAUCCUGCCGGAGGUCAUUGCUAUCGGAGUCCGAUUUAGCCAUGCUAGUCGUGCGAGUUCACACUCGCGGCACCGAGCUCAGUAACACGUGGCCAAACUACCCUACAGAGACGGAUACCCUCGGGAAACUGAGGCUAACCCGUCAUACCGAUCUCAGGCUUGAAUCGCAGAGAUCACCAAACGCUCCGGCGCUGUAGGAUGUGGCUGCGGUUGAUUAGGUUGACGGUGGGGUAACGGCCCACCGUGCCCAUAAUCAGUACAGGUUGUGAGAGCAAGAACCUGGAGACGGAAUCUGAGACAAGAUUCCGGGCCCUACGGGGCGCAGCAGGCGCGAAACCUUUACACUGCACGCACGUGCGAUAAGGGGACUCCGAGUGCGAGGGCAUAUCGUCCUCGCUUUCGUGUACCGUAGGGUGGUACACCAACAAGGGCUGGGCAAGACCGGUGCCAGCCGCCGCGGUAAUACCGGCAGCCCGAGUGAUGGCCGAUCUUAUUGGGCCUAAAGCGUCCGUAGCUGGCCGCGCAAGUCCAUCGGAAAAUCCACCCGCCCAACGGGUGGGCGUCCGGUGGAAACUGUGUGGCUUGGGACCGGAAGGCGCGACGGGUACGUCCGGGGUAGGAGUGAAAUCCCGUAAUCCCGGACGGACUACCGAUGGCGAAAGCACUCUGAGAAGACGGCUUCGACAGUGAGGGACGAAAGCUCGGGUCUCAAACCGGAUUAGAUACCCGGGUAGUCCUAGCUGUAAACGAUGCUCGUUAGGUGUGGCACCCACUACGAGUGGGUGCUGUGCCGCAGGGAAGCCGCUAAACGAGCCGCCUGGGAAGUACGUCCGCAAGGAUGAAACUUAAAGGAAUUGGCGGGGGAGCACUACAACCGGAGGAGCCUGCGGUUUAAUUGGAGUCAACGCCGGAA